This is a long non-coding RNA of Amphimedon queenslandica, 197 nucleotides long. RefSeq lists it as uncharacterized. NCBI's taxonomy places the organism in Eukaryota, Metazoa, Porifera, Demospongiae, Haplosclerida, Niphatidae. The transcript is spliced from 2 exons. The record is from RefSeq and is a predicted model, not a curated record.
AGUCUGUGGCCACGUGCCUGUUCCUUCAUAAAGAAGAGCUUUAAGAGUAUUAUUCAUGGCAGACGAGGAGCCAAAGCUCAGCAAGAAAGUUUGAUAAUGAAGAGACUGUUGUUGACAGGCCGCCGGACAUGUUCCUCAUCAUUUCGUCACUUCUUCUCACCUUCUAGUGCUUUGAAGAGAAACCUCAAAGCUGAGAA